Molecule: ribosomal RNA, 906 nt
Filed under: Vibrio alginolyticus
Lineage: Bacteria; Pseudomonadati; Pseudomonadota; Gammaproteobacteria; Vibrionales; Vibrionaceae
Description: bacterial SSU rRNA
Rfam family: Bacterial small subunit ribosomal RNA
Source: RNAcentral
AAAACGGCGUCGAGCGGCGGACGGGUGAGUAAUGCCUAGGAAAUUGCCCUGAUGUGGGGGAUAACCAUUGGAAACGAUGGCUAAUACCGCAUGAUGCCUACGGGCCAAAGAGGGGGACCUUCGGGCCUCUCGCGUCAGGAUAUGCCUAGGUGGGAUUAGCUAGUUGGUGAGGUAAGGGCUCACCAAGGCGACGAUCCCUAGCUGGUCUGAGAGGAUGAUCAGCCACACUGGAACUGAGACACGGUCCAGACUCCUACGGGAGGCAGCAGUGGGGAAUAUUGCACAAUGGGCGCAAGCCUGAUGCAGCCAUGCCGCGUGUGUGAAGAAGGCCUUCGGGUUGUAAAGCACUUUCAGUCGUGAGGAAGGUGGUGUCGUUAAUAGCUGCAUUUUUUGACGUUAGCGACAGAAGAAUCACCGGCUAACUCCGUGCCAGCAGCCGCGGUAAUACGGAGGGUGCGAGCGUUAAUCGGAAUUACUGGGCGUAAAGCGCAUGCAGGUGGUUUGUUAAGUCAGAUGUGAAAGCCCGGGGCUCAACCUCGGAAUAGCAUUUGAAACUGGCAGACUAGAGUACUGUAGAGGGGGGUAGAAUUUCUCGUGUAGCGGUGAAAUGCGUAGAGAUCUGAAGGAAUACCGGUGCCGAAGGCGCCCCCCCUGCACUGAUACUGACACUCAGAUGUCAAACCGUGGGGAGCACACUCGAUUAGAUACCCUGGUAGAUCACGCCGUAUACGAUGUCUACUCCUGAUUUUCUACCUUCCUCCGCAGCUCUCUGAUCUGACACUUUAAGAAGACAGCCUGAGGAGGACCCCCGCGCUAUCAAAUCUGACAUGAAAUGACAGCGUGCCCGCACUUUACGCCCAGCAUGUCGUAUAAUGCACGCACCCCCCAGUAUUACUACGUACUGCU